This 402-nucleotide ribosomal RNA is filed under the name uncultured bacterium. RNAcentral's name for it is "bacterial SSU rRNA". It matches the Rfam family "Bacterial small subunit ribosomal RNA", at positions 355 to 774 of the family's 1533-position model. The record is from RNAcentral.
UGGGGAAUAUUGGACAAUGGGCGCAAGCCUGAUCCAGCCAUGCCGCGUGAGUGAUGAAGGCCCUAGGGUUGUAAAGCUCUUUCACCGGUGAAGAUAAUGACGGUAACCGGAGAAGAAGCCCCGGCUAACUUCGUGCCAGCAGCCGCGGUAAUACGAAGGGGGCUAGCGUUGUUCGGAUUUACUGGGCGUAAAGCGCACGUAGGCGGACUUUUAAGUCAGGGGUGAAAUCCCGGGGCUCAACCCCGGAACUGCCUUUGAUACUGGAAGUCGUGAGUAUGGUAGAGGUGAGUGGAAUUCCGAGUGUAGAGGUGAAAUUCGUAGAUAUUCGGAGGAACACCAGUGGCGAAGGCGGCUCACUGGACCAUUACUGACGCUGAGGUGCGAAAGCGUGGGGAGCAAACA